UCCUGUGAUGUGAACUGUCUACGGGUCUCUCAGCCGUGGAUACCAGCGCUUGUUCUGGUGGAGGUGGCAGAAGGUGCAAUAGACUUUCUGAAGGUCUGUAGCUUUGGUGGUUUAAUGCUCUAUUUUUGUGCCGGUUGGCCUCCUGCCAGGAGGUGGCAUUUUCCAGAAAACAUCAGCUGUAGUAAUGUGGAGAGGGACCAGUAGUGGGUGGGACCCUAGAACUCCCAAGAUUAUAUGCCGUUUAUCUUCCACUACCAGGGUGGAUAGGGAAGGACCAUCAGGUGGGGGCAGGGCUAGGCAUACGCUCAGACUGUUCAGGAGGCUCAGACUCUCCUUGGGCAAGUCUUGCUGUGGCUGCUGUGGGAGAUGGGAGUGAGAUUCCCAGGUCACUGGAGUUGUGUACCUAGGAGGAUUAGGGCUGCCUCUGCUGAGUCAUGCAGGUUAUCAGGGAAGUGGAGGAAAGCUGGCAGUCAGAGCCCUCACCCAGCUCUCAUGCAAACGGAAGGGCUGGUCUCACUCCCACCAUGUCCCACCAACAGCCCUGAGUCUGUUUCCAGGAAGAGGGAGAGAUAGGCUUGAAAACUUGCCCAAGGCUAUCUGCCUCACAGCUGUGAAAGAAAAGGGCUUUAGUUCUUCCCCUACGAGUGAAGUCUGCAUACUGGAUUCACGCCCUCCCCUGAGUUCUGGCCAGGAGGUUUCUCACCCUGUUCAAAUUGGUACAAAUUUCGGCUAGAGCAUUCCUUCUCCCUGUGGAGUUUUACCCCCUGCAUCUCUGGCCACCCUCUCAGUGGAUCCCUGUGGUGCCAGGCAGGAAUGGGCUGCAGGGGCACCCAGCGAGCUUCCAGGGCCUUUCUGCCGCUUCCUCUACCCCUGUUUUUCGCUUGGCUCUCUAACUUGACUCAGCUUCAGCAGCCACAGGAAAUUAAUAUAACUGCGAAGGAAAAGAUUUCCCCUGCUCGAGUCUCCCUGCACUCCUACCCAUCUGAGAGAAACAGAACUGUUGAGUAGCUGAUGCAAUUUCAUCCAUAAUAUUGUGGAUUCACCAUUGAUUCAGCAUCUGAUCCUCAGCACUGUAUAUCUAAGAACUCAUUCUCCUUGGUUCAUCAGGCAUGAUCAGAUUAAGGAUUCAUACACACUGACCUAACUCACAGGAGAGAGUUAUAAAUCAGAACACCAAUUUAUUGCCUUGUUCAUGGAAAUAGAAACACUACAUGUGUCAGCUUACUCAGAUCAGCAGCUAAACACUGUUCAGUGUUGAUUGGGAAAUAUAAAGCCAGAAUGAAGGCAGCUGGUUCAUCUUGAUAGCAAAUGUUACCAAAUCUCAUAGUCUGGUGCCCUAAUCUCCAUGGGAUUAGAACAUGUACAUCGACCAGAGAGGUUCUCUUUCUCCUGACUAUGCUGGGACAUUCUGGCAAAUUCUGACUCAUCACUCCCUUUCUAGAAUCCUUAAAGACCAUCAUCACGCUAUUUCAAGAAUAUUCCUUCAGAUGUGUUACAAAGAUUAAAUGUUGAUUUAUGGUAUCUCUAAA
RNAcentral lists this long non-coding RNA (1529 nucleotides) under Homo sapiens (human). RNAcentral's name for it is "HSALNT0367884". The record is from RNAcentral. Lineage: Eukaryota; Metazoa; Chordata; Mammalia; Primates; Hominidae.